This 379-nucleotide ribosomal RNA is filed under the name uncultured eukaryote. RNAcentral's name for it is "partial 18S ribosomal RNA". It matches the Rfam family "Eukaryotic small subunit ribosomal RNA", at positions 592 to 975 of the family's 1831-position model. The record is from RNAcentral.
CAAUAGCGUAUAUUAAAGUUGUUGCAGUUAGAACGCUCGUAGUCGGAUUUCGGGGCGGGCCGACCGGUCUGCCGAUGGGUAUGCACUGGUCGGCGCGUCCUUCCUUCCGGAGACCGUCCCUACUCUUAACUGAGCGGGGGCGGGAGACGGGACUUUUACUUUGAAAAAAUCAGAGUGUUUCAAGCAGGCAGCUCGCUCUUGCAUGGAUUAGCAUGGGAUAAUGAAAUAGGACUUUGGUGCUAUUUUGUUGGUUUCGAACACCGAAGUAGUGAUGAGAAGGGACAGUCAGGGGCACUCGUAUUCCGCCGAGAGAGGUGAAAUUCUCAGACCAGCGGAAGACGAACCACUGCGAAAGCAUUUGCCAGGGAUGUUUUCACUG